This 527-nucleotide ribosomal RNA is filed under the name Salmonella enterica subsp. enterica serovar Litchfield. Its description in RNAcentral is "partial 23S ribosomal RNA". It matches the Rfam family "Bacterial large subunit ribosomal RNA", at positions 911 to 1434 of the family's 2925-position model. Lineage: Bacteria; Pseudomonadati; Pseudomonadota; Gammaproteobacteria; Enterobacterales; Enterobacteriaceae. The record is from RNAcentral.
UGUUUCGGCUAGGGGGCCAUCCCGGCUUACCAACCCGAUGCAAACUGCGAAUACCGGAGAAUGUUAUCACGGGAGACACACGGCGGGUGCUAACGUCCGUCGUGAAGAGGGAAACAACCCAGACCGCCAGCUAAGGUCCCAAAGUCAUGGUUAAGUGGGAAACGAUGUGGGAAGGCCCAGACAGCCAGGAUGUUGGCUUAGAAGCAGCCAUCAUUUAAAGAAAGCGUAAUAGCUCACUGGUCGAGUCGGCCUGCGCGGAAGAUGUAACGGGGCUAAACCAUGCACCGAAGCUGCGGCAGCGACACUCAGGUGUUGUUGGGUAGGGGAGCGUUCUGUAAGCCUGUGAAGGUGGCCUGUGAGGGUUGCUGGAGGUAUCAGAAGUGCGAAUGCUGACAUAAGUAACGAUAAAGCGGGUGAAAAGCCCGCUCGCCGGAAGACCAAGGGUUCCUGUCCAACGUUAAUCGGGGCAGGGUGAGUCGACCCCUAAGGCGAGGCCGAAAGGCGUAGUCGAUGGGAAACGGGUUAAU